Molecule: long non-coding RNA, 2592 nt
Organism: Mauremys mutica (yellowpond turtle)
Lineage: Eukaryota; Metazoa; Chordata; Testudines; Geoemydidae
Exons: 5
Source: RefSeq, a predicted model, not a curated record
CUAAAGGCGAGCCGGAGAGGCGGCCGGAGUGGCGGGGGGCCGGGAGCGGGGCUCUCGGGGCGGCCCCCGGGCAGACGGGCCGGGCCCGGCGCAGCCCCGCUCCGCGGGAGGGAGGAGCCGGAGCCCCCAUCCCGUCACAGCUGUUGUGGAGCUAACAGACACCAAGCUUAUCUCAAUUGAUUAGACUCUUCCUGUUGAGUCAGUGUUGGAAGCAAUGACUGGAGUGCUCCAGGGAUCUGUUUCACAACCAAGUUUGUUCACUGUAUGUCUCAGUGACCUGGAAGAAGGAAUGUGCAGUAAGGUGAUAAAAAUUUGCUCAGGAGAUGACACAAACUCUGCUUUUGUCUGAGGCAGAAAGGGGGAGGAGUGGGCAGAUGGCAGUCAGUACAAAAGAGGGCAUCCUGUGUGCUGAAUCACAUUCCUUCCAGCUCCCUCUGGUUGUCAGUGAACAAACCCAGCUUGACAUUUUUCCACAUCUUCCAUUGACUUCCAUCAGCAACACAACAAAGUACUCCUGCCCAUACUGUCAGCCUGCUAAUGUUAGUGGACCAUCCAGAUAUCUAGAAUCAUGCAGGAAAAGGAACUACAGGUGAAUACCCAGAACUUGUGAUGCCAGAUGUGAUGGACAGUCUUUCCAUCCCUCGUGUUCCUGUGGAACCAUUCUCUCCACCCUUCCACCCACAGUUUGGCAGGAUGGAGAUCAACAGAGGUGCCUACUUAAAAUCAAAGGACAGCAGAUACUCAUUAGUUGGCAAAUGUCCAGUAUUUAAGCUUGAGGGAGAAAUUAAAUAUUUCUCAUAAUGGAAGUAUCCACUGGCCAUCCCUGUAUAUUCAACUUUUCAUGAUAAACCUAAGUAGAUAUUGCACUGUUUAAUUCUUAUCUUACUUUCUGUAAUGUGGUUAAUAUUUCUACCAUGUUUAUGUAGUUUCAGCUGCAGGGAAACCCUUUUCUAGGGUCAUAGUACAAUGCUUCAGUUUUCCAGCUGGAAGAACCUGAAUUUAAAAACAAAAUCUAAAUAUAAACUCAUGUGAACUGGGCAGGCCUAAACCAGUACUGAUACCCAGAUAAAUGGAUGUCUCCACUCAGAGAAACAAAAUUACAGAUACGGAAACUUAAAAAAACAGACUGUAGCUAAAGCAUCACUUUGAAUUUUAGGACUUGAAACUGGAGGAUGGGAACCCUCUGCUUGAGUUGAACUAAUUUUUCAUAAGUCUGAUUCGUUAUUGUACAUUCAUUAUUAUGGUAGCUGGAUAUUUUUUGCACAGCUUUAAAACAGAUGCUCCUCAGUUAACCUUUUCCCCAUGUCAUGGAUGUGUUUUAGGCUCAGCAGUUCUCUAUCCUAAUUCUCACUCAGAAACAUCAAUAUUUGUGGACUUGAAAUUAAAAGUGAUGACAACUUGGGUUAGAUUUCACCAAUCUCUUUAAGUACCUGUAGAUCUUUCCAGUUUACAAUUAAUAAAUGCUGUAGAGAGGGAGUCUAACUGUUACUGCAGAUUGGGACUACCCAAUAUAAUUCAUUUCUUUAUUGAGAGAAAUUAAUUCCAAAACAUUUGCAAGUUAUCAUCCUGUUUACAAAGUUCACCUGUAUCAGCAUGUGCCAGAUAACAGCUGAGCUGGCAUGGAGGGGGAUUUAAUCUGAUGUACUAGAUUACUUACUCCUCUUGGCGUUCCCCUUUUUCCCCCAAAGCAAGGAGUGAACCAGGGAGGGUAAGACAGCAAGUAUUUCUUCUCUGUUCUGGUCUUACUCAGGGCAGACUGUAAACUUAUGCCCUUAGCCUAUGUAAAUGUACAAAGUUGCACAGGCAAAGGGUUGGCUGGGUUGAAGCCCCUUUGAAAAUUUGGUCUCUAAGGUGUCAGAAAUCAGGGCCUGCAGCAGAACCUGUCUCAGGACAACCUAAUGAGUGCAGCUGGCCUGCAAUAGGCUGUCUAAUUGGCUGCACUGCCUGACUUGUUGGAAGAGUCAGCAGACCAGCUCUUAAGCCCAGCUGCAGUUCAGUGGCUGCUCACAGCAUUCACCCAUGGCUGUGAUAGCUUCUGCCUCACCUCACUCCAAGUAAUUCAGCUUUUACUCUUGACUCUAAUUCCUGACUUCUGAUUCCAGCUUUGGCCUCUGACUGCUAUUCCUGGCUACUGAUUCCUGCUCAACCACUUGGUGUGACUGCCCAUGCCCCGGUCUCUGACGUUAGGAACGUAGGUUUUCUGUUGGAUAACAUAAUCUUUUUUGUCUUCUAUAUCUGAUCUUUAGUUCUGCUUAGUGUCCAUUCUGAAACCUUGUUUUCAUCUGACAGCUGUUUCUCUGACAAAUUGGUAUUUGUGUUGUCUUCUGUCUUCAUUUCAGUGAUCAUAUCCUUAACUCCUAACUUCAUUGUGUUCAUAACUUCCUAUUUAUUCCUUUCCACUUGUUAUUAAAAUACCAGACUUUUUUGUCUCACCCUCAUCUCUCCAGAGUAGACAAUAUUAGGUUCAGUAGAUUCUGCUGGGACACUAUGCCAGGAAUGCAGGAACCUAAAUGAAUCCUUGACUGUUUACAUUCUUAUCUCUUCCAAAUAGCCUAUGACUCCUGGAAUCUUUUUCUGAUUAACUAUUUCAGU